Molecule: ribosomal RNA, 227 nt
Filed under: Triticum aestivum (bread wheat)
Lineage: Eukaryota; Viridiplantae; Streptophyta; Magnoliopsida; Poales; Poaceae
Description: partial small subunit ribosomal RNA
Source: RNAcentral
GUCAAUGGUUAGAACUCAUGUUCCCCUCUAUUUUCUCUUUGAAUUUUCUUUUGUGACGGACGGGACUUGCAAAGCCAAUAACUUGUUGAUUGGCAUGCCAAUUGGAGAUGAUUUGAGGACUUCUUACGUGUUUGGUAGAAGGACAUGAGAGGUCAAGGAGUUUCCAUUGGGACAUUAGGACAUGCUCCUCCAUCUCCUCCGCUGGACGACAUCCAACAUCGCUAGGU